Molecule: unclassified non-coding RNA, 255 nt
Filed under: uncultured Endogone
Lineage: Eukaryota; Fungi; Mucoromycota; Endogonomycetes; Endogonales; Endogonaceae
Description: sequence contains ITS2
Source: RNAcentral
AAAUGACAUCCAAAAUUUGGUUUGUGUUUGCUAGUCCAGACAGUUCCGAAUUAUUGGGAUUUGGGCUUUGUCAAAUUUUUGUUUGGCUGACCUUAAAAUAAUUUAGCCACAUCAUGAAAAAGAUUUGGGUGAUAUAAGGCGUAAUAGUUGGUACUCUUCUGUGUCCAUCCCUUUCGCCGAAAGCCUGUCUAUUUUUGUAAAAAGUUGGCUCAAUAAUAUGGAAAAUUUGAAGAAAUGUAGUUUUUUCAACCAUUG